Molecule: ribosomal RNA, 406 nt
Filed under: uncultured bacterium
Lineage: Bacteria
Description: partial 16S ribosomal RNA
Rfam family: Bacterial small subunit ribosomal RNA
Source: RNAcentral
GACGAACGCUGGCGGCGUGCUUAACACAUGCAAGUCGAACGAGUGGCGAACGGGUGAGUAACGCAUCGGAACGUACCGAGUCAUGGGGGAUAACUGUCCGAAAGGAAAGCUAAUACCGCAUAUUCUUGGAGCGGACGAUGUCUGAUUAGCCAGUUGGCGGGGUAAAGGCCCACCAAGGCGACGAUCAGUAGCGGGUCUGAGAGGAUGAUCAGCCACACGGGGACUGAGACACGGCCCAGACUCCUACGGGAGGCAGCAGUGGGGAAUUUUGGACAAUGGGCGCAAGCCUGAUCCAGCCAUGCCGCGUGUCUGAAGAAGGCCUUCGGGUUGUAAAGGACUUUUGUCAGGGAAGCGGUACCUGAAGAAUAAGCACCGGCUAACUACGUGCCAGCAGCCGCGGUAAUUC